GUGAGAUUAAAUUGAAUUUAAUCAUAUAGAUUAAGUUGUAGUGUGGUAAGAGCUAUGAUGGGGGUAUGGCCAAAGCAGUGAAGGGUACAGAAAACAGGCCCCUGAGAAGGUCUGAACACCUCGAGGAUAUGAUGCCUGAAUUGCUCUUAAAAAACAGUAGGAGAUAGUCUUGAAAAACAGGGAACAUGUGCAGCGAUGGGAAGGUAGCUGUAUUCUGUGAGCCACAGAUAGGUCUGUGAGGCCAGAGUAUGGGGUGCCUGCAAGUGAGUGGUUGAGGAGAUGGAGUGGUAAUGGGUAAGACCAUGAUGCGAGAGACCUGGAGAGAGGAAGCUAUUGACUAAGCAGGGGACACCUGAGGACCUAAAGGAAGGCUCUAAAGUAAGGCUGGAAGAAGGGAAUCGAGUCAAGAAAGAUUAGAAGGUAGUAUUAACAAGGUGUGUUGCAAUUGACUGAGAGGUGAGGGAGAUGGAUUUGCAGAGAAUGACUCUUGGAUUUCUGGAAUUUGGGUUGUUUGAUGGAGUAGACUAGAUUCGGUUUUCUUAUCUGUAAAAUGGAAGAAAUACUUUGCGGAUAACAUAGGCAAAUGUCUUACCACAAGCAUACGGUUGAGACUCCAUAAAUGCUCGUUUUUUUUGCUUUCCCCCAUGUUGUUUCUGUUUCCUCCAUUCUGUCAGUGUAGGUCUUUGUUUGGUUAGUUCUGCCUUUGGAACGCUUUUCUUUGCUGUGUCCCAUGCUUCCCACUGUGACUGCUGCAUGGGUGACUCCCGGAUCCUUCUCUCCAGCCCUGAUCACGCUUGUAUGCAUUUUCGACCGUGUUCUGGUCAUCUCCAUGGCCUCUCACCCUCACAAGGGAGAACCAUC
This 861-nucleotide long non-coding RNA is filed under the name Homo sapiens (human). RNAcentral's name for it is "HSALNT0129838". Lineage: Eukaryota; Metazoa; Chordata; Mammalia; Primates; Hominidae. The record is from RNAcentral.